UAGCUACAGGCUUAACACAUGCAAGUCGAGGGGCAGCAUGGUCUUAGCUUGCUAAGGCCGAUGGCGACCGGCGCACGGGUGAGUAACACGUAUCCAACCUGCCGUCUACUCUUGGACAGCCUUCUGAAAGGAAGAUUAAUACAAGAUGGCAUCAUGAGUCCGCAUGUUCACAUGAUUAAAGGUAUUCCGGUAGACGAUGGGGAUGCGUUCCAUUAGAUAGUAGGCGGGGUAACGGCCCACCUAGUCUUCGAUGGAUAGGGGUUCUGAGAGGAAGGUCCCCCACAUUGGAACUGAGACACGGUCCAAACUCCUACGGGAGGCAGCAGUGAGGAAUAUUGGUCAAUGGGCGAGAGCCUGAACCAGCCAAGUAGCGUGAAGGAUGACUGCCCUAUGGGUUGUAAACUUCUUUUAUAAAGGAAUAAAGUCGGGUAUGCAUACCCGUUUGCAUGUACUUUAUGAAUAAGGAUCGGCUAACUCCGUGCCAGCAGUCGCGGUAAUACGGAGGAUCCGAGCGUUAUCCGGAUUUAUUGGGUUUAAAGGGAGCGUAGAUGGAUGUUUAAGUCAGUUGUGAAAGUUUGCGGCUCAACCGUAAAAUUGCAGUUGAUACUGGAUAUCUUGAGUGCAGUUGAGGCAGGCGGAAUUCGUGGUGUAGCGGUGAAAUGCUUAGAUAUCACGAAGAACUCCGAUUGCGAAGGCAGCCUGCUAAGCUGCAACUGACAUUGAGGCUCGAAAGUGUGGGUAUCAAACAGGAUUAGAUACCCUGGUAGUCCACACGGUAAACGAUGAAUACUCGCUGUUUGCGAUAUACGGCAAGCGGCCAAGCGAAAGCGUUAAGUAUUCCACCUGGGGAGUACGCCGGCAACGGUGAAACUCAAAGGAAUUGACGGGGGCCCGCACAAGCGGAGGAACAUGUGGUUUAAUUCGAUGAUACGCGAGGAACCUUACCCGGGCUUAAAUUGCAGAUGAAUUACGGUGAAAGCCGUAAGCCGCAAGGCAUCUGUGAAGGUGCUGCAUGGUUGUCGUCAGCUCGUGCCGUGAGGUGUCGGCUUAAGUGCCAUAACGAGCGCAACCCUUGUUGUCAGUUACUAACAGGUUCCGCUGAGGACUCUGACAAGACUGCCAUCGUAAGAUGUGAGGAAGGUGGGGAUGACGUCAAAUCAGCACGGCCCUUACGUCCGGGGCUACACACGUGUUACAAUGGGGGGUACAGAGGGCCGCUACCACGCGAGUGGAUGCCAAUCCCCAAAACCUCUCUCAGUUCGGACUGGAGUCUGCAACCCGACUCCACGAAGCUGGAUUCGCUAGUAAUCGCGCAUCAGCCACGGCGCGGUGAAUACGUUCCCGGGCCUUGUACACACCGCCCGUCAAGCCAUGGGAGCCGGGGGUACCUGAAGUGCGUAACCGCGAGGAGCGCCCUAGGGUAAAACUGGUGACUGGGGCUAAGUAGU
This 1448-nucleotide ribosomal RNA is filed under the name uncultured organism. RNAcentral's name for it is "SSU rRNA". It matches the Rfam family "Bacterial small subunit ribosomal RNA". The record is from RNAcentral.